AGGGGGCUGUUCCAUAAAAGCCGCUUAGAAAAGCGGGGAUUAAAGUCCAAAACCUGACUUGAAUGAGCCGAGCUAAACAUCCGCGCUUAAAUUGGUUCCAUAACAGUAAGUUGAGGAUCAUGUGAUCUUACUAAUUUGAGUCAGGUUUAAAUAGUCUAGAUAAUUGCGCGUGCACGCCAUUGUUUAAAAGUCCUGAAAAGUCGAGCAUGGGUCAAUCGAUUUACUGUGGGCUACCAUGGCAACAAAAGGAAAAGAUAGAGCAGCGAUGUUCACGGCAACGGAACAGCGUUUGCUAUUGGAAACAUAUGAAGAAUUUAAAGAUGUCAUCACCAAAAAAGGCAAUACAGCGGCAAUAAAUAAAGCAAGAGAGAAAGGUUGGCAGGAAAUUGCUGAUCGUCUCAAUGCGUAAGUAGCGGUGUAAACUAUUUAAAAUAUUUUAUCAACAUUGAAUGUGUGUCACAAUACAUUGCAAAGUUUGUGUGUGAAUAACAGUAACGUUAAUUGCUUUCACGCAGCAGCAACUUAAGUGAAGGAAAAAGAACCUGGCAGCAGGUGAAAAUAAAAUAUAAAAAUAUAGUUCAGAUUGCGACCAAAAAGAAGACUGAGGUUGCUGGCACUGGGGGAGGGCCACCACCAGCCAGCUUCACUCCUGCAGAGGAGCUGGCUUUGGAAAUUAAUAAAGGGAGGCCCGUCCUUGAGGGAAUAGAGGGGGGGACAUCAUCUAAAAUGAUAUCACGUAGUAUAAGGAGUGAGUAUAUAAAAGGUGUGUGUGUGUUUUAUUAUCAUUAUUCCUUCCUGACUAACUGAUUUCCUACUUCCUUAGGCAUUGUAAGCCUAAGUACAUCAUAGCAGUAAUGUCACGUAGAGGUACUUGUGCUACUGUAAUGGUGCAUUUUGGUAAAAAAAUAAUAUUUUUUCUAUCAAGAUUCUGUAUGCAUUAUGGAUCCACCAGACAUCAUGUUGCCUGUGAGUAUGAGACCUUUUAAAUCAGUCAUGUAAGCUAAUGAGUUUAACUGAGUUUAAUCAGUGGUCACAGGGAGAAGGCCCAUCAGUUGAGGAGGAUGAGGAGACUGUGUCUGUAUGUUCAAGGAGGCCUGAGGAUGCUGACACUGUUCUAGAGCCCUCUCAGUCUGGGACCACAUGUGACAAAAACCCAGAAAACAUAAAAGGAGUGUAUAAACGCUACCUCCUUAAACAAAUGGAAGCGAUUGAUAUCGACAUCCAGUAUAAAAAACUGAAGAUGAGGAAGUUGGAGCUGGAAAUUCAACAGCUACAGAAAAAUGCAAGUAGAACUACCAUUUUUAAAAAAGGAAAAGAAAAAAAAAAACAUUACCUUUUUGAUCACUUUCCACAACAUUUAUUUGUGUUUUCACCCCUAACAGGCAGAUUCACUCUGAAUAAAGACAAAUCACAUUAAAUACUUUGACUUCUUUGUUCAACUAAGGAGAAAGUUGAGGGGCCAGUGGAAAAU
Rhinichthys klamathensis goyatoka is the source of this 1471-nucleotide RNA transcript. RefSeq lists it as uncharacterized. The transcript is spliced from 4 exons. The record is from RefSeq and is a predicted model, not a curated record. Lineage: Eukaryota; Metazoa; Chordata; Actinopteri; Cypriniformes; Leuciscidae.